AAAACAGCUGGUAAAAACUAUAAGAACUGAAGAAAUAUCUCUCCAGCUUUCAUCUCCCAUGCAUGAUUUUGGUGAGACUAAUUAGGGACAAAGACUGAGUUUUGAAUCAAAUUCCUCUACUUGACAUUUCAAACAGAUAUUUAAAAUACUAUCAGGGAUUUAUUUACUGUGUUCUCUGAUUCCCUCUGCAGGAUAUGUGACACCUUCACUAACAGACACAGGAACAGCCAUCAUUUUUGGUGUGGGCGGCCACAGCUCCUCUGGGUCAUGGAUCUGCUGCAGAGCUCACAUAAGCCUCACUAAGCCUUCUCAGUUGCAGUGGCAGGGAAAGAAUUUUUUUUGAAAUGCUGAUUUUUCUGGCUUGAUGAUUUACUUUAAUUCCUGAGGUUAUGAAAUUAGGGUUUAAUACACUUACCUGUGGAGAAAUAGCUAAAACAUGAAAACAACAAACCAAACCACAUCAGAAGAGAAAAACAGAUUUCUGGUGCUUGGAUGAGGAUUAAUUGUCCUGGGAAGGCAGCUUGCAUCCCAAGCAAUUCUUCAUGCCACUCAACAGGCAUUGCUGACAGGAACAAGGGGAACAAGAAGCUCCAGUCCCAGGAUGUGCUGCCUUGGGUGAGCUCUGGGUCUACACCAGCAACCUCUGCUUCUGAGCUGUGAAGAUUCUUGACCAGAGAAUAGUAGACCUUGAAGAAAUAAUAGCUUGGGUUAAUGCUACUUUGAGGAUGUCUGCACUUUUUCCUCAUUAUAUACUGUGGGUAAGAUUUAAAAAUUGUGAAAACUUUGGGAGCAGUUGAAAUGUGUUAAUAAAAUCAGCAGUAAACUGUAGGGGCA
Molecule: long non-coding RNA, 834 nt
Filed under: Zonotrichia albicollis (white-throated sparrow)
Lineage: Eukaryota; Metazoa; Chordata; Aves; Passeriformes; Passerellidae
Description: lncRNA (ENSZALG00000010176.1)
Source: RNAcentral